Molecule: ribosomal RNA, 408 nt
Filed under: uncultured bacterium
Lineage: Bacteria
Description: partial 16S ribosomal RNA
Rfam family: Bacterial small subunit ribosomal RNA
Source: RNAcentral
GACGAACGCUGGCGGCGUGCUUAACACAUGCAAGUCGAACGAAGUGGCGAACGGGUGAGUAACGCGUAAUCAACCUGCCCUUCAGAGGGGGACAACAGUUGGAAACGACUGCUAAUACCGCAUACUGAAGGUGGGGCCUGCGUGUGAUUAGCUAGUUGGAGGGGUAACGGCCUACCAAGGCGAUGAUCAGGAGGCGGUCUGGGGGGGUGAACGGCCACCUUGGGAAUGAGACACGGCCCAGACUCCUACGGGAGGCAGCAGUGGGGAAUCUUUCGCAAUGGACGAAAGUCUGACGGGGAAACGCCGCGUGAGUGAUGACGGCCUUCGGGUUGGAAAGCUCUGUUAAUCGGGACGCGGUACCGGAAUAGAAAGCCACGGCUAACUACGUGCCAGCAGCCGCGGUAAUAC